This 1059-nucleotide ribosomal RNA is filed under the name uncultured bacterium. Its description in RNAcentral is "bacterial SSU rRNA". It matches the Rfam family "Bacterial small subunit ribosomal RNA", at positions 377 to 1450 of the family's 1533-position model. The record is from RNAcentral.
GAAACCCUGACGCAGCAACGCCGCGUGAAGGAUGAAGGUUUUCGGAUUGUAAACUUCUUUGAUGAGGGACGAAGAAAGUGACGGUACCUCAAAAACAAGCCACGGCUAACUACGUGCCAGCAGCCGCAGUAAUACGUAGGUGGCGAGCGUUGUCCGGAAUUACUGGGUGUAAAGGGCGUGUAGGCGGGUUAAAAAGUCAGAUGUGAAACCCCUCGGCUUAACUGAGGGACUGCAUCUGAAACUUUUGAUCUUGAGUGCUGGAGAGGAAAGCGGAAUUCCCAGUGUAGCGGUGAAAUGCGUAGAGAUUGGGAGGAACACCAGUGGCGAAGGCGGCUUUCUGGACAGUAACUGACGCUGAGGCGCGAAAGCGUGGGGAGCAAACAGGAUUAGAUACCCUGGUAGUCCACGCCGUAAACGAUGGAUACUAGGUGUAGGAGGUAUCGACCCCUUCUGUGCCGGAGUUAACACAAUAAGUAUCCCACCUGGGGAGUACGGCCGCAAGGUUGAAACUCAAAGGAAUUGACGGGGGCCCGCACAAGCAGUGGAGUAUGUGGUUUAAUUCGAAGCAACGCGAAGAACCUUACCAGGGUUUGACAUCCCUCGAAUCAGGUAGAGAUAUCUGAGUCCUUCGGGACGGGGAGACAGGUGGUGCAUGGUUGUCGUCAGCUCGUGUCGUGAGAUGUUGGGUUAAGUCCCGCAACGAGCGCAACCCUUGUUGUUAGUUGCCAGCACGUAAAGGUGGGCACUCUAGCGAAACUGCCGGCGACAAGUCGGAGGAAGGUGGGGACGACGUCAAAUCAUCAUGCCCCUUAUAUCCUGGGCUACACACGUACUACAAUGGCUGUAACAGAGGGAAGCGAAGGAGCAAUUCGGAGCAAAUCCCCAAAAGCAGCCUCAGUUCAGAUCGUGGGCUGCAACCCGCCCACGUGAAGUCGGAAUUGCUAGUAAUGGCAGGUCAGCAUACUGCCGUGAAUACGUUCCCGGGCCUUGUACACACCGCCCGUCACACCAUGAGAGUCUGCAACACCCGAAGUCGGUAGUUUAACCAAAAAUGGAGAG